This 2902-nucleotide long non-coding RNA is filed under the name Sus scrofa (pig). RNAcentral describes it as "lncRNA (ENSSSCG00045039079.1)". The record is from RNAcentral. Lineage: Eukaryota; Metazoa; Chordata; Mammalia; Artiodactyla; Suidae.
CUUCAUUCUAGAAUUCACUUAAACUCUACCAAACUGCAGGCCUCACUCUCAUAGGGACAAAGCUCAUCCUAUGAUGAUUAUCCUAUGACAGGAAAAGCAGAUUAAAUGUGUCCUUAGUACCCCCAGGGCACUGAGUUAAUCAUUCACUGUUAUUCCCUUGCCGGGAAGGUGUGAGAUGUAGAAGAGAUAAGGUAUCCCAUCCAUGCUUUUCACUCUUGGAAGCAGAAUGGAAAUUCUCUUCCUUUAUGCAGAUAUAAUUAGUGGGGACUAAGUGUUUGCUCCUAAUAACCUCUAUGAUGUUAUCUGUACAUAAGGGGAUUCAAAAAGGAUGUCUUUUUUAGUAAUAACGAUGUUAUACGAUGAAAGUCAAUCACUAACACCAAAAAAAAAUCUCUAUGAUCAAUUACAAGAGUUGUUAUACAAUUCUAAUUAUGAAAAACAAAAAAAAACCAAACAGGAAAACAGGGAGUUUCAUAAAUGAUUUGAGGCUACUAUAAUACAAACACUCUGUGCUCACUAAAAUGUUAAGAAAAUUCACACAUAUUGAAGUUUGUCCAAAAAGUAACAGCAGUUUAGAUAAGCUCAUAAACAUGGUUUGCUCCCAAGCCAAAGUGUAUCAACCCAAGUCAUGUUGUUUGGAGAAUCUGAAGAAAGUGUGAAAAUUUCUAUCAUCCCCACAAAGAAGAGAUAGGAGAUCAGGAGAAUAGAGAGGAGAGAUGGGUUGUACUCAAAAAGAGCAAUGAACACCUGCCUUGUGUGCAGCAUGGGUUUCUCACAAGUGCUGACAUGGGCAAACACUCCAGGGAUCAGGGGGAAUUGGUGAUCUAGUAAAAUAUGGUCUUUAGCUAAAGGUCAAAUGAAAUUGUACUGGAAACCUUGGGGAUACUUUAAAGUGGGAACUAAAGACAGGGGCUGCUCAUUAGAGCUUUUGCUUAAGUACCAGUUUCACUUUAUCAGGGAAAUUGUUCAUUUGUGUGAAAAUGUGACCUCUGUCAGUUUGCCAAGCAGGCUGGACCCUGGGGUGAUCUCAGGCUCACGUGUGCCUGCAGAAGUUAAAGCUACCUGGGGACUACUUUCAAAGGACAUUGCCAAGGAGGUGGAAAAGGUCGAGUCAUGCUGAACAUUAAGAUUGGAAAUAGGUAAGCCAGCACAAGCCAACAUGCAGUGCAGCUCACUGUCACAGCCAGAAGGAGCUAAUUGUAUUAGUUAUGGUAAUAGUGCCCUCCAGAGGAAUUCUGCAGGAAUUCGAAAGGCAUAGGGAAAAUUAAAGGUGGUGAAGAUAAUGGAUUUAAAUACAUACUUAUAAAGCAAGUUAACAUAUUAAUCUUGCCUAGAUAAUUAAAAUAUACUUAGAAUAUAUUUUAAAUUUAGUGCUGAAAGCUAACACUAUCUUCAUAAAAAUAUCAACAAGCAAACAUGAUUUAAAUAUUUUAGGCCAUUUGUGAAUCCAUACUUAUAUUCUUGGUAUAUUCUAAAAAAUGUGAUAUGUUAUUUUAAAGUUAAAUCCAGGAAACAGUAAAGGACUGAGAUUAACGAGUUUAAAUUUGUGAUCCUGUUGUUACUUUUCCUUUGUGGUAUUUCUGAGUCUUCAGAAUUUAGUGUAAACAGUGGUAUAUUCUAACAUUAAUAUCUAGUAUCAUUGAAAUGAGGCAAAAUUAUAACAAGCACGAUCAAUUAUUGAAAGUAAAUGAAAUGGGAGACUCCAAAGCACCAGAUUAUAGACAGUAAGCCCCACUUACACCACAAAAUAUUAACGAGAUAAAAAUAGGUGAUAAAUAACUAAAUGAAAAUAAGAGGCCUCUGUGUUUAUCAUUUAAAUAUUUAUACUUUCUUAAUUUUAAAGAAUGAAUAAUGAUUAUUUCACAUAAUGAUUUAUUUUAAUUAUCAUCAAAAUUGCUUCUGCUACUUUAUUAUGUUAGACACUUAGGCAAAUGCUGGGAAAAGGGAAUUCAUAUUUAAUGAUUUCACUGCUUUUUACCUCACUCACCAUUGUUAGCCACCCAUCAUAAUGAUUUUCUGCAUUUGAAAUUGUUUCUGUAAUUUACUAAAAUAGCUAUGAAUAAUUGAAAUUUUUCUCUUGACGUUUAAUAUUAUAAACCACAAAAAGAACAAGAGUGAAAAAAUAAUAACAAAGGAAUGAGAACAACAAAUAAAAAACAGUAACAAAUAUGGUAGAUAAGUUAAUUCAAUUAUAUUAACAAUCACUUUGAAUGAUCUAAAUACACAAAUUAAAAGACAUUGUCAGAGGAGAUCAAAAAAUAAGACCCAAUUAUGUGUGAUCUACAAGAAAACCACUUUAAGUAUAAAUAUACAUAUCAAAAGUAAAUGGAUUUAUAAUGCCACUACAUUAUAUAUGUAUAUAUAUUUUCCUAUUUGUCAAUCCCUAAUCAAAUAUCGUAUCUUUGGUUUUUUUUGGCCAAGCCCAGAGCAUAUGAAACUUCCACAGCCAGGGACUGAACCUGUGCCACAGUAGUGACCAAGGCCACUGAGUUGACAAUGACAGAUCCUUAACCCACUAUGCCACAAAGGAACUCAUGAAUACUAUAUCUUUUAAGUUAUUUUUGUUUAUAAUAAAUCUAGAGACCUGAAGGGUUAAGUUUUUCUUAUACUGCUCUUACUUUCAAAAUUAUCUCAGGCAAUCUUGUUCCUUUGCCCUUCCAAAUGAACAGUAAAAGAGCUUAUCAAGUUUCACAAUAUCACAUGUUGAGAUUUUGAGUUGCAUUUACUUAAUAGUUUAAUUUGAAAAACACUGCUAUCUUUAAGAUAUUGAGUGUUUGCAUCCAUGACAGCGAUAGCUCUCUCUAGUUACUUAUGUCUUGUUUUAUGUUCUUCAGUAGUAAUUGCUUUCUCUGUAAAGAUUCUAUCUUUUGUUACAUUUGUUCCUGGCCCAUUACUGUUUCCA